ACCUGGCUGGCUCAGUUGGUAGAGCAUGUGAUUUGAUUUCAGGGUUGUGGGUUUGAGCCCCACAUUGGGUG
Molecule: transfer RNA, 71 nt
Organism: Felis catus (domestic cat)
Lineage: Eukaryota; Metazoa; Chordata; Mammalia; Carnivora; Felidae
Rfam family: tRNA
About the family: Transfer RNA (tRNA) molecules are approximately 80 nucleotides in length. Their secondary structure includes four short double-helical elements and three loops (D, anti-codon, and T loops).
Source: Rfam